This 236-nucleotide unclassified non-coding RNA is filed under the name plant metagenome. Its description in RNAcentral is "partial contains small subunit ribosomal RNA, internal transcribed spacer 1, and 5.8S ribosomal RNA". The record is from RNAcentral.
UUUCCGUAGGUGAACCUGCGGAAGGAUCAUUACUGAGUGAGGGCCCCUCGGGGUCCAACCUCCCACCCGUGUUUAACGAACCUUGUUGCUUCGGCGGGCCCGCCUCACGGCCGCCGGGGGGCAUCUGCCCCCGGGCCCGCGCCCGCCCAAGCUACCUGUGAACGCUGUCUGAAGUAUGCCGUCUGAGACAAUUAUUAAAUUAAUUAAAACUUUCAACAACGGAUCUCUUGGUUCCG